RNAcentral lists this ribosomal RNA (465 nucleotides) under Vreelandella stevensii. Its description in RNAcentral is "partial 16S ribosomal RNA". It matches the Rfam family "Bacterial small subunit ribosomal RNA", at positions 338 to 795 of the family's 1533-position model. The record is from RNAcentral. Lineage: Bacteria; Pseudomonadati; Pseudomonadota; Gammaproteobacteria; Oceanospirillales; Halomonadaceae.
CCUACGGGUGGCAGCAGUGGGGAAUAUUGGACAAUGGGGGCAACCCUGAUCCAGCCAUGCCGCGUGUGUGAAGAAGGCCCUCGGGUUGUAAAGCACUUUCAGUGAGGAAGAACGCCUGGUGGUUAAUACCCAUCAGGAAAGACAUCACUCGCAGAAGAAGCACCGGCUAACUCCGUGCCAGCAGCCGCGGUAAUACGGAGGGUGCGAGCGUUAAUCGGAAUUACUGGGCGUAAAGCGCGCGUAGGUGGCUUGAUAAGCCGGUUGUGAAAGCCCCGGGCUCAACCUGGGAACGGCAUCCGGAACUGUCAAGCUAGAGUGCAGGAGAGGAAGGUAGAAUUCCCGGUGUAGCGGUGAAAUGCGUAGAGAUCGGGAGGAAUACCAGUGGCGAAGGCGGCCUUCUGGACUGACACUGACACUGAGGUGCGAAAGCGUGGGUAGCAAACAGGAUUAGAUACCCCAGUAGUC